Molecule: ribosomal RNA, 460 nt
Filed under: uncultured bacterium
Lineage: Bacteria
Description: partial 16S ribosomal RNA
Rfam family: Bacterial small subunit ribosomal RNA
Source: RNAcentral
CCUACGGGAGGCAGCAGUGAGGAAUAUUGGUCAAUGGUCGCGAGCCUGAACCAGCCAAGUAGCGUGAAGGAUGACUGCCCUACGGGUUGUAAACUUCUUUUAUAAAGGAAUAAAGUGAGGCACGUGUGCCUUUAUGUAUGUACUUUAUGAAUAAUGAUCGGCUAACUCCGUGCCAGCAGCCGCGGUAAUACGGAGGAUCCGAGCGUUAUCCGGAUUUAUUGGGUUUAAAGGGAGCGUAGAUGGGUUGUUAAGUCAGUUGUGAAAGUUUGCGGCUCAACCGUAAAAUUGCAAUUGAUACUGGCAGUCUUGAGUACAGUUGAGGUAGGCGGAAUUCGUGGUGUAGCGGUGAAAUGCUUAGAUAUCACGAAGAACUCCGAUUGCGAAGGCAGCUUACUAAACUGCCACUGACAUUGAUGCUCGAAAGUGUGGGUAUCAAACAGGAUUAGAUACCCUAGUAGUC